AUUGAACGCUGGCGGCAUGCCUUACACAUGCAAGUCGAACGGCAGCACGGGAGCAAUCCUGGUGGCGAGUGGCGAACGGGUGAGUAAUAUAUCGGAACGUGCCCAGUCGUGGGGGAUAACGCAGCGAAAGCUGUGCUAAUACCGCAUACGAUCUCUGGAUGAAAGCGGGGGACCUGCAAGGGCCUCGCGCGAUUGGAGCGGCCGAUAUCAGAUUAGCUAGUUGGUGGGGUAAAAGCUCACCAAGGCGACGAUCUGUAGCUGGUCUGAGAGGACGACCAGCCACACUGGAACUGAGACACGGUCCAGACUCCUACGGGAGGCAGCAGUGGGGAAUUUUGGACAAUGGGCGCAAGCCUGAUCCAGCAAUGCCGCGUGCAGGAUGAAGGCCUUCGGGUUGUAAACUGCUUUUGUACGGAACGAAACGGUUCUCUUUAAUAAA
This 439-nucleotide ribosomal RNA is filed under the name uncultured bacterium. RNAcentral's name for it is "bacterial SSU rRNA". It matches the Rfam family "Bacterial small subunit ribosomal RNA", at positions 30 to 466 of the family's 1533-position model. The record is from RNAcentral.